UGACCUCAAAUCAGGUAGGACUACCCGCUGAACUUAAGCAUAUCAAUAAGCGGAGGAAAAGAAACUAACAAGGAUUCCCCUAGUAACUGCGAGUGAAGCGGGAAGAGCUCAAAUUUUGAAUCUGGCAGUCCUUGGCUGUCCGAGUUGUAAUCUAGAGAAGUGUUUUCCGCGCUGGACCGUGUAUAAGUCUCCUGGAAGGGAGCGUCAUAGAGGGUGAGAAUCCCGUCUUUGACACGGACCGCCAGUGCUAUGUGAUGCGCUCUCGACGAGUCGAGUUGUUUGGGAAUGCAGCUCAAAACGGGUGGUAAACUCCAUCUAAAGCUAAAUACAGGCGAGAGACCGAUAGCGAACAAGUACCGUGAGGGAAAGAUGAAAAGAACUUUGGAAAGAGAGUUAAACAGUACGUGAAAUUGCUGAAAGGGAAACGCUUGAUGUCAGUCGCGUUGGCUGGGGAUCAACCUUGCUUCUCGCUGGGUGUACUUCCCGGUCGACGGGUCAGCAUCAGUUUCGAUUGCUGUACAAGGAUGAGGGGAACGUGGCACUCCCCGGAGUGUGUUAUAGCCUUUCAUCGUAUGCAGCGGUUGGGACUGAGGAGCUCAGCACGGCUUCUCGCUUGUGCUCAGGAUGCUGGCAUAAUGGCCUUAAGCGACCCGUCUG
This 657-nucleotide ribosomal RNA is filed under the name Butyriboletus pseudoregius. RNAcentral's name for it is "eukaryotic LSU rRNA". It matches the Rfam family "Eukaryotic large subunit ribosomal RNA", at positions 1 to 655 of the family's 3401-position model. The record is from RNAcentral. Lineage: Eukaryota; Fungi; Basidiomycota; Agaricomycetes; Boletales; Boletaceae.